RNAcentral lists this ribosomal RNA (58 nucleotides) under Chloroflexota bacterium. RNAcentral's name for it is "Chloroflexi bacterium (groundwater metagenome) partial 23S ribosomal RNA". The record is from RNAcentral. Lineage: Bacteria; Bacillati; Chloroflexota.
GGUCAAAGUACAAAGGGCGCAUGGCGGAUGCCUUGGCGUCAAGAGCCGAUGAAGGGCG